GCCGUGGUGGUGUAACUGGUAACACGCCUCUCGCCAUGAGAGGAGAUUUGGGUUCGAAUCCCAGCCUCGGCA
Molecule: transfer RNA, 72 nt
Filed under: Aspergillus aculeatinus CBS 121060
Lineage: Eukaryota; Fungi; Ascomycota; Eurotiomycetes; Eurotiales; Aspergillaceae
Description: tRNA-OTHER
Rfam family: tRNA
About the family: Transfer RNA (tRNA) molecules are approximately 80 nucleotides in length. Their secondary structure includes four short double-helical elements and three loops (D, anti-codon, and T loops). Further hydrogen bonds mediate the characteristic L-shaped molecular structure. tRNAs have two regions of fundamental functional importance: the anti-codon, which is responsible for specific mRNA codon recognition, and the 3' end, to which the tRNAs corresponding amino acid is attached (by aminoacyl-tRNA synthetases). tRNAs cope with the degeneracy of the genetic code in two manners: having more than one tRNA (with a specific anti-codon) for a particular amino acid; and 'wobble' base-pairing, i.e. permitting non-standard base-pairing at the 3rd anti-codon position.
Source: RNAcentral